CUUGGCCGGCUCCUGGCCUCCCGUCAGCGAUGUAAGGAAUCCCUCCUGAGCCACGUACGGACCCACACCGAGAUAUACGCAUACACACGCGUGCGGGGAGAACCUCAGGAGCGUGCCCUGGUGACUGUAACGAAAAGAGGCGCAUGCCCCCGGCACCCAAACAACACAACACAGCACCACCUCUGUUUAAGUCUCCGUCAUCGAUCGCAUAUCUUCUUCUCGAAUCUCACCCAUCCUCCCCCUCUCUCCGGAAACCUAUCAGAGCUGCUGCAUCGUUUGUCUUUGUUGCCACCACCUAAUUCAUCAGCCUCUCACUCAUUGUUGUGGAGCGCCCCGUAUGUCCAGCGAGGUCGAGGAGCUGCUAGCGCGACACCAGCGCAGGUUUGCCGUGUACGAGGAGUUUCUUCGCACCGACAACAAGACGCUGCCGCCGCCGCCGAGGUCGCCGAGCCCACAGCAACGAGAGCAGCAGCGGCAACACCAGACAGCCCCAAGCGAAGCUGUGCUUUCCACGCACAGUGUCAGUGGGCGUGAUGCUCAUUACGUCAGUGGCACGAGCGCUGGCGACCACAACGAGGAGCGCGUAGGGAGAUCGCGCGAUAGAGGCGGACAUUCAAGCCCAGGCGCACGCGCGCCAAAGACGGCGACGACGUCCACGACGUCGGUAGCUGAUGUGGCUCGAGCCAUCGCAGCGCACGGAAGCCCGGUGGAGCCCACCCGCUCGUAUGCGAGCAUUGAAGCCGGUACGCCGCCGUCGUUGCAGCGGCGCUCCACCUCGCGGUCGCCGUGCGACGCGCAUACCACUGCGGCGGCGACGUCGGUAGCUCGUCACCGCACUUCCGCUGGCGAGCUCGAUGACAUCGACUACCUUAUCGGUGAGCGGCUGCGCUCGGCGGGGCGGUACAGGCUAGCGUUGACGCCGGACGCCGCAUACAUCAAGUCGCAGGCGUGGGCACUGCGACGCGAUCAGGUAAAAGAAGCGUUGCGCCGCGAGCAGGAAGAUGCGAAGCUCAGGGAAUGCACCUUUCGGCCACAGCUGGGACCCGCGGCGAUGGAGGGCACCCGUGAUGCGGAAGCCGCAUCGAACGGUAGUGGCGGCCACUGCCCCGACGUCGGGGCAGUGAAGGUUUCCGUGACCGAGGACCCUGGCGUCUCGCAGCACCUUGCACGGCUGGAGAAGGCGCGCCGGCACCGCCGGGAGACAGAGACGCGCCUUAACGGCAGCAACGCACAUCACUGGACAAGUCGGUCCACAGUGCCACACGAGUUUCAACUAGGGCUCCGAGUUGCCGAGUCGAUUCCGUCACUGCGCAAGCCCUACAUGCCGAUUACCAGCCUUGGCGGUGACCUCAGUACUGCCACCUCGCUGCAGAGACAUGAGCGAGAAGAGAUCGUGAAGCGCGCUUCAGCUGCGCAGAGGCGACGUUCCUUCUCGUCAGCGCCUCCCUCACAUGUCAGGGACCGUCGCGGCAGCCGCCCGCGGUCGCCGUUGCCCACCACGACGGAUGCGGCGAGGCGCUCGGUGAACGGCGAGCAGAAGAAGCCGCGACGGCAAAAGGGGCUACCGCGGACGAGGCAGCGAUUCUUUUCAUCGACGACGUUAAUACCGGAUGCGGCACACGGCGAGGCAUAUGCCCCGGAGCCCCAGCGCUCGUGCCUCGAAGUGGGCGCACGAGACAUGGUGUGCUAUCUAACGGACCAGCUGACUCACAAGGAUGCGAUCAUUCAAGAGCAAGUAGAAAACCUGGAACGGCUGCACCGCGAGCUGGAUGCGGCGAUGGAGACGCUACACCAGAUAGCAUCUCUUGGAGCUUCACGCUGAGGUCACCAGCGCACGCACCCACACGCGGGCAUGUGUGUACGCGUACGCAGGACCGCACUGCGUGGGUCCCGUCUUUUUCCCGUUCUCCUUGCCGCUGGAGGUGUCGUCUUGUGCCGCCUCACUUUUUCUGUGCUUAGAUUUGUUUUUUGUUGUCGCUGUAGGUGACCCGCUGUACUGUCCCCGUGCGUGGGCACCCUUCGUAUGAUGUGGAGCGCACCCCCUCCUCUUCUCUC
RNAcentral lists this unclassified non-coding RNA (2055 nucleotides) under Leishmania donovani. RNAcentral's name for it is "gene:LdHU3.15.0490(CDS-product:hypothetical_prote in_conserved)". The record is from RNAcentral. Lineage: Eukaryota; Euglenozoa; Kinetoplastea; Trypanosomatida; Trypanosomatidae.